Molecule: ribosomal RNA, 253 nt
Filed under: uncultured bacterium
Lineage: Bacteria
Description: partial 16S ribosomal RNA
Rfam family: Bacterial small subunit ribosomal RNA
Source: RNAcentral
UACGGAGGGUGCAAGCGUUGUCCGGAUUUAUUGGGUUUAAAGGGCGCGUAGGCGGCUAUUUAAGUCAGUGGUGAAAUCCUGCAGCUUAACUGUAGAAUUGCCAUUGAUACUGGAUAGCUUGAGUACAGACGAGGUAGGCGGAAUUUAUGGUGUAGCGGUGAAAUGCAUAGAUACCAUAAAGAACACCUAUUGCGAAGGCAGCUUACUAGGCUGUAACUGACGCUGAGGCACGAAAGUGUGGGGAUCAAACAGG